AAAUGUGUCAAUGUGUCUAGAUUAUUCACUAAAUUUUGAAGUCAUAUGAAACAUCACUAGAUGUGGGUUUCUGGCAUGAAUUAUUUUGAAGUCAUAUGAAACAUCUGGUCCAAUUUUGAAGUCAUAUGAAACAUCACUAGAUGUGGAUUAUUAACAUCAUUCACAUGUUUUUAUAAAAAGUUUUUUUUGCUAAUGAUAGUUGAUUAAUGAGUAGUCUUUAAUAACCUCAAUAUAUGUUAAAAAAGCAUGUAUUAAGAUAUAUAGAUGCUGAACUUGCAUGGCCCUUAAUUCCGGACCAUAGUAAUUAUGAUGCUGAACUUGCAUGGCCCUUAAUUCUGGACAACUUUGUUGAAUGGAUGAGAGCAAAGCAGAGAUAAACCAAGAACCGAUUGGUGCAUCGGUUCUCUGUCAUUAUCCAAGCUUAAAGAUUGUCUCAAACAACACACAUCAAAAGUGAGCAAUCAAUUUUCUUUUGUUUUUUUUUUUUCCCUUGAUUUUUGAUUGAAGGGAGGAGCUUUUCUUCUUUUCUGAAUAUACUAUUGUUAGAACCCACCCCCCUCACUGUUAGAAGUUAGUGAUGUGUUAUUGAUCUCUGUUUUGGUAAUGUCUCAGUACAUUUUAUUUGUCAUUAUUUAUGCAACUUGGUUUCAGUUUUA
This is a long non-coding RNA of Camellia sinensis, 656 nucleotides long. RefSeq lists it as uncharacterized. Lineage: Eukaryota; Viridiplantae; Streptophyta; Magnoliopsida; Ericales; Theaceae. The record is from RefSeq and is a predicted model, not a curated record.